UACGUAGGGGGCGAGCGUUGCCCGGAUUCACUGGGCGUAAAGCGGGUGUAGGCGGUCUCUUAAGUCGGAUGUGAAAUCCUGCGGCCUAACCGCGGAACUGCAUCCGAUACUGGGAGACUUGAGGACGGUAGAGGUCGGUGGAAUUCCCGGUGUACCGGUGAAAUGGACAGAUAUCGGGAGGAACACCAGUGGCGAAGGCGGCCGACUGGGCCGAUCCUGACGCUGAGACCCGAAAGCCAGGGUAGCGAACCGG
RNAcentral lists this ribosomal RNA (253 nucleotides) under uncultured bacterium. Its description in RNAcentral is "partial 16S ribosomal RNA". It matches the Rfam family "Bacterial small subunit ribosomal RNA", at positions 524 to 776 of the family's 1533-position model. The record is from RNAcentral.